GAUGAACGCUGGCGGCGUGCCUAAUACAUGCAAGUCGAGCGAACGGACGAGAAGCUUGCUUCUCUGAUGUUAGCGGCGGACGGGUGAGUAACACGUGGAUAACCUACCUAUAAGACUGGGAUAACUUCGGGAAACCGGAGCUAAUACCGGAUAAUAUUUUGAACCGCAUGGUUCAAAAGUGAAAGACGGUCUUGCUGUCACUUAUAGAUGGAUCCGCGCUGCAUUAGCUAGUUGGUAAGGUAACGGCUUACCAAGGCAACGAUGCAUAGCCGACCUGAGAGGGUGAGCGGCCACACUGGAACUGAGACACGGUCCAGACUCCUACGGGAGGCAGCAGUAGGGAAUCUUCCGCAAUGGGCGAAAGCCUGACGGAGCAACGCCGCGUGAGUGAUGAAGGUCUUCGGAUCGUAAAACUCUGUUAUUAGGGAAGAACAUAUGUGUAAGUAACUGUGCACAUCUUGACGGUACCUAAUCAGAAAGCCACGGCUAACUACGU
RNAcentral lists this ribosomal RNA (496 nucleotides) under uncultured bacterium. Its description in RNAcentral is "partial 16S ribosomal RNA". It matches the Rfam family "Bacterial small subunit ribosomal RNA", at positions 28 to 506 of the family's 1533-position model. The record is from RNAcentral.